UAUCAUUUGCUCCACCAAACCCUAAGUUUCCUGUUUCUCAAUCUCUCCCUCUUUCCGCCGCACUUCACUUCUCCCUUCUGCACCUCAAUCUCUUCCACCUGCCUCGCCUCCACCGCCCAGUGCACUAAACUUCUCUCUGUCUUCGUCUCGCUCGUCCUCGGCGCAUAAGUCGUCCCCAAGACGGAGUGCGUCAAAGAGUCGGCCAUGGCCGUUCUUCACGGCGACAUCAUUCGUCGGCAUCUUCAUAUUCAGAUCUAGAUCUACCAUGAAAGGCAAUGGCCGCUUCAUAUCCGACCAACACAUCGCGUGUUCUACAUCCAGCGGCGGAGGUGGAGGCAGUGACGACUUCAAAUCGGCAUCUCUCCCUUCUGAUCCAGCCUUCAAUCUCCAUUUACUGCGACGAAGACAACUAUUACGAUCUCUUAGAGUCUCUCAAAAUGCCAAUGCCUCUGACUGGUAAGUUAGGGGUGAGAAACUUUUCCUUUGUGGGUUGUAUUAAUUAAACAGGUUGAUUCUUUACUUGCAAAUACUGAAAGCCACAAGAGUACACUAUGAUUAUGCAAUUGCCUACCCAGAGGAGGUCAAGGUGGGAGAGCCAGGUUGGAAAGAUAGGUAUUAUGAGGAUAAGUUAUCUGAAAAAAUACCUAGGAAAUGGUAGAGAUACGGAAAGAUGUUGUAAGUUGUCUUGAAUGUGCUAGUCGAACAGACUCCAAUACAAUGCUGCUCUACUCACUAAUGUGGUGGGCUAAGAUAGUUCCUACAUGAUGAAUUUUUAUUUUUUUUGCUUUUAUGCUCUUAUUAUUUGAAAAGACUCUACAUGUGUAAAACUUUUGUUCAAUUGUUUGUGGACAUGAGAUACUUGAGAGCUAGUAUAUAUUCUUACUGGAGUUAUCAUUCACCUCUAACCAUCUAUCUUGGAUCUCAUUUUUCUAUAGUUCUCUUGAAAAAAGAUGCAGGAUCUGAAAUGGGUGCCUCUGCAGCUUCACCAAGUGACAAUAUAUCAUAUUGUUACUACAUGAACGCGUAUGAUAUAAGCAGUACAAAAUGAGUCAUUUAGCAGAGGCAGGUCAUACGCUAAGUUGAGCUGAGGCAAAGCUUGUUCUCAUUCCUCUUAAACACGCAUUUGAGACAAAAAAUAUAAAAGUCAUGGAGCUUCCUUUAGAUUGUCUUCAUGUAUUUGCUCAUAAAUCUGAUGGAAGUUAUAUAUGGAUUUGACACCAGAUGAAACUAAUAAAUCAAGGGACAUCAAAAGCUUAGUACUGUGUUUAGGCAGAUUGAAACUGACCUGGUAUGUAAUUAGGGAGUGGAUUAGAAAAAUUCUUAUUUCUUUUUGGGUACACAUGAGAAGUACUUGUGCACUGAAACUAUUAUUGUAUUAGAAUGUAUCUUAGAUUCUAUUAUAUAUUGUGUUUAAUAGUUUGGAUUAUAUAAA
Molecule: long non-coding RNA, 1432 nt
Organism: Ipomoea nil (Japanese morning glory)
Lineage: Eukaryota; Viridiplantae; Streptophyta; Magnoliopsida; Solanales; Convolvulaceae
Exons: 4
Source: RefSeq, a predicted model, not a curated record